This 321-nucleotide ribosomal RNA is filed under the name uncultured eukaryote. RNAcentral's name for it is "partial 18S ribosomal RNA". It matches the Rfam family "Eukaryotic small subunit ribosomal RNA", at positions 1470 to 1795 of the family's 1831-position model. The record is from RNAcentral.
CCCUUAGAUGUUCUGGGCCGCACGCGUGCUACACUGAGUGGAUCAGCGGGUCAGGUUGCGCGAAAGCGUUUCCUAAUCUUUAAAUCCGCUCGUGAUGGGGAUUGACGGUUGCAAUUUUCUGUCAUGAACGAGGAAUACCUUGUAAGCGCGGGUCAUCAUCCCGCGCUGAAUACGUCCCUGCCCUUUGUACACACCGCCCGUCGCUCCUACCGAUUGAGUGGUCCGGUGAGGCUUUGGGAUCUGAGCGGAAAGAGCGUUUCGCUGUUUCUGCUCGGAAAACUCAGUCGAACCUUAUCAUUUAGAGGAAGGAGAAGGCGUAAC